CUUGACACUGAACACUGGUCCUUGAUGUGUAGGAUAGGUGGGAGGCUUUGAAGCGUGGACGCCAGUCUGCGUGGAGCCGCCCUUGAAAUACCACCCUUUAAUGGCUGGUGUUCUAACGUAGACCCGUUACCCGGGUUGCGGACAGUGUCUGGUGGGUAGUUUGACUGGGGCGGUCUCCUCCCAAAGAGUAACGGAGGAGCACGAAGGUUGGCUAAUCCUGGUCGGACAUCAGGAGGUUAGUGCAAUGGCAUAAGCCA
Molecule: ribosomal RNA, 257 nt
Filed under: Enterobacter hormaechei
Lineage: Bacteria; Pseudomonadati; Pseudomonadota; Gammaproteobacteria; Enterobacterales; Enterobacteriaceae
Description: partial 23S ribosomal RNA
Rfam family: Bacterial large subunit ribosomal RNA
Source: RNAcentral